Molecule: ribosomal RNA, 85 nt
Organism: Cricetulus griseus (Chinese hamster)
Lineage: Eukaryota; Metazoa; Chordata; Mammalia; Rodentia; Cricetidae
Source: Ensembl
GUCUAUGGCCAUACCACCUUGAACAAGCCAGGCCUCAUCUGAUCCCAGAAGCUAAGCAGAGUUGGGUCUCCUCAGUUCGUGGACA